RNAcentral lists this ribosomal RNA (573 nucleotides) under Bacillus safensis. Its description in RNAcentral is "bacterial SSU rRNA". It matches the Rfam family "Bacterial small subunit ribosomal RNA", at positions 56 to 614 of the family's 1533-position model. The record is from RNAcentral. Lineage: Bacteria; Bacillati; Bacillota; Bacilli; Caryophanales; Bacillaceae.
UGCAGUCGAGCGACAGAAGGGAGCUUGCUCCCGGAUGUUAGCGGCGGACGGGUGAGUAACACGUGGGUAACCUGCCUGUAAGACUGGGAUAACUCCGGGAAACCGGAGCUAAUACCGGAUAGUUCCUUGAACCGCAUGGUUCAAGGAUGAAAGACGGUUUCGGCUGUCACUUACAGAUGGACCCGCGGCGCAUUAGCUAGUUGGUGGGGUAAUGGCUCACCAAGGCGACGAUGCGUAGCCGACCUGAGAGGGUGAUCGGCCACACUGGGACUGAGACACGGCCCAGACUCCUACGGGAGGCAGCAGUAGGGAAUCUUCCGCAAUGGACGAAAGUCUGACGGAGCAACGCCGCGUGAGUGAUGAAGGUUUUCGGAUCGUAAAGCUCUGUUGUUAGGGAAGAACAAGUGCGAGAGUAACUGCUCGCACCUUGACGGUACCUAACCAGAAAGCCACGGCUAACUACGUGCCAGCAGCCGCGGUAAUACGUAGGUGGCAAGCGUUGUCCGGAAUUAUUGGGCGUAAAGGGCUCGCAGGCGGUUUCUUAAGUCUGAUGUGAAAGCCCCCGGCUCAACC